GACGAACGCUGGCGGCGUGCUUAACACAUGCAAGUCGAACGAUGAAGCCCAGCUUGCUGGGUGGAUUAGUGGCGAACGGGUGAGUAACACGUGGGCAACCUGCCCCAAACUCUGGGAUAACUCCUCGAAAGAGGUGCUAAUACCGGAUACGAACUAGACAGACAUCUGUACUAGUUGGAAAGUUUUUCGGUUUGGGAUGGGCCCGCGGCCUAUCAGCUUGUUGGUGAGGUAACGGCUCACCAAGGCUACGACGGGUAACCGGCCUGAGAGGGCGACCGGUCACACUGGGACUGAGACACGGCCCAGACUCCUACGGGAGGCAGCAGUGGGGAAUAUUGCGCAAUGGGCGAAAGCCUGACUCAGCGACGCCGCGUGAGGGAUGAAGGUCUUCGGAUCGUAAACUUCUUUCAGUAGGGACGAAGCGAAAGUGACGGUACCUAAAGAAGAAGCACCGGCUAACUACGUGCCAGCAGCCGCGGUAA
Molecule: ribosomal RNA, 482 nt
Filed under: uncultured bacterium
Lineage: Bacteria
Description: partial 16S ribosomal RNA
Rfam family: Bacterial small subunit ribosomal RNA
Source: RNAcentral